GCUUGGCGACUGAUGUAGGGAUCCAUCCUUUGGUUCCUUAUUUCAUAUAUUUUGUUGCUGAAGAGGUGACUCGUAAUUUAAACAACUUCCAACUUCUUUUUGCUUUAAUGCGCCUUGUGAGGAGUCUUCUACAGAAUCCAUACCUGCACAUUGAACCAUAUCUGCACCAACUGAUGCCGUCUGUGAUGACAUGCCUAGUU
Molecule: long non-coding RNA, 200 nt
Organism: Helianthus annuus (common sunflower)
Lineage: Eukaryota; Viridiplantae; Streptophyta; Magnoliopsida; Asterales; Asteraceae
Exons: 3
Source: RefSeq, a predicted model, not a curated record